RNAcentral lists this microRNA precursor (93 nucleotides) under Procavia capensis (Cape rock hyrax). RNAcentral's name for it is "miRNA (ENSPCAG00000020071.1)". Lineage: Eukaryota; Metazoa; Chordata; Mammalia; Hyracoidea; Procaviidae. The record is from RNAcentral.
GGCUGCUCCGAGGGCCUGGGCCGGGCUGGGCUGGGCGGGGGGCUGGGUGUAACCGCGUGUCCCCCGCCUUGCAGCUUCCUCAUCGUCCUGAUC